GUGGGGAAUCUUGCGCAAUGGGCGAAAGCCUGACGCAGCCAUGCCGCGUGGAUGAUGAAGGUCUUAGGAUUGUAAAAUCCUUUCACCGGUGAAGAUAAUGACUGUAGCCGGAGAAGAAGCCCCGGCUAACUUCGUGCCAGCAGCCGCGGUAAUACGAAGGGGGCUAGCGUUGCUCGGAAUUACUGGGCGUAAAGGGAGCGUAGGCGGACAUUUAAGUCAGGGGUGAAAUCCCGAGGCUCAACCUCGGAACUGCCUUUGAUACUGGGUGUCUUGAGUGUGAGAGAGGUGAGUGGAACUCCGAGUGUAGAGGUGAAAUUCGUAGAUAUUCGGAGGAACACCAGUGGCGAAGGCGGCUCACUGGCUCGAUACUGACGCUGAGGUGCGAAAGCGUGGGGAGCAAACAGGAUUAGAAACCCGAGUAGUCC
This 425-nucleotide ribosomal RNA is filed under the name uncultured bacterium. RNAcentral describes it as "partial 16S ribosomal RNA". It matches the Rfam family "Bacterial small subunit ribosomal RNA", at positions 354 to 796 of the family's 1533-position model. The record is from RNAcentral.